Molecule: ribosomal RNA, 329 nt
Filed under: uncultured eukaryote
Lineage: Eukaryota
Description: partial 18S ribosomal RNA
Rfam family: Eukaryotic small subunit ribosomal RNA
Source: RNAcentral
CCCUUAGAUGUCCUGGGCCGCACGCGCGCUACACUGAGUGUCUGAGAUACGAGUCUGCCUGGUCCGGCAAGGUCUAGGUAAUCGCUAAAAGACACAUCAUGCUUGGGAUAGAUUAUUGCAAAUAUUAAUCUUGAACGAGGAAUUCCUAGUAAGCGCAAGUCAACAGCUUGCGUUGAUUACGUCCCUGCCCCUUGUACACACCGCCCGUCGCUACUACUGAUUGGAUGUUUAAGCGAGGUUCUCGAACUGCUAGCGACUUAGCUUCGGUGAGGUCGCAGUGUGGGAAGUGAACCUAGCUUUGGUGUCUAGAGGAAGUAAAAGUCGUAACA